GUCCACGCCGUAAACUAUGAGUACUAGAUAUGGGGGGAGUUUGACCCCUUCCGCAUCGUAGCAAACGCAUUAAGUACUCCGCCUGGGAAUUACGGUCGCAAGACUAAAACUCAAAGGAAUUGACGGGGCCCGCACAAGCGGUGGAUUAUGUGGUUUAAUUCGAAGCAACGCGAAGAACCUUACCUAGGUUUGAAAUCCUGAGAAUCCUCCGGAAAUGGAGGAGUGCCCUUCGGGGAAUUCAGUGACAGGUGCUGCAUGGCUGUCGU
RNAcentral lists this ribosomal RNA (266 nucleotides) under uncultured bacterium. RNAcentral's name for it is "partial 16S ribosomal RNA". It matches the Rfam family "Bacterial small subunit ribosomal RNA", at positions 793 to 1055 of the family's 1533-position model. The record is from RNAcentral.